RNAcentral lists this ribosomal RNA (200 nucleotides) under uncultured eukaryote. RNAcentral describes it as "partial 18S ribosomal RNA". It matches the Rfam family "Eukaryotic small subunit ribosomal RNA", at positions 588 to 791 of the family's 1831-position model. The record is from RNAcentral.
GCUCCAAUAGCGUAUAUUUAAGUUGCUGCAGUUAAAAAGCUCGUAGUUGGAUUUCGGGUGGGGCCUGCCGGUCCGCCGUUUCGGUGUGCACUGGCCGGGCCACCUUGUUGCCGGGGACGGGCUCCUGGGCUUCACUGUCCGGGACUCGGAGUCGGCGAGGUUACUUUGAGUAAAUUAGAGUGUUCAAAGCAGGCCACCGC